GACGAGCGCUGGCGGCGUGCCUAAUACAUGCAAGUCGAGCGAAGUUUUUCUGGUGCUUGCAUUAGAAAAACUUAGCGGCGAACGGGUGAGUAACACGUAAAGAACCUGCCUCAUAGACUGGGACAACUAUUGGAAACGAUAGCUAAUACCGGAUAACAGCAUUAACUGCAUGGUUGAUGUUUAAAAGUUGGUUUUGCUAACACUAUGAGAUGGCUUUGCGGUGCAUUAGCUAGUUGGUGGGGUAAAGGCCUACCAAGGCGACGAUGCAUAGCCGACCUGAGAGGGUGAUCGGCCACACUGGGACUGAGACACGGCCCAGACUCCUACGGGAGGCAGCAGUAGGGAAUCUUCCGCAAUGGGCGAAAGCCUGACGGAGCAACGCCGCGUGAGUGAAGAAGGAUUUCGGUUCGUAAAGCUCUGUUGUUAGGGAAGAAUGAUUGUGUAGUAACUAUACACAGUAGAGACGGUACCUAACCAGAAAGCCACGGCUAACUACGUG
This 499-nucleotide ribosomal RNA is filed under the name uncultured bacterium. RNAcentral describes it as "partial 16S ribosomal RNA". It matches the Rfam family "Bacterial small subunit ribosomal RNA", at positions 28 to 507 of the family's 1533-position model. The record is from RNAcentral.